This is a long non-coding RNA of Exaiptasia diaphana, 430 nucleotides long. RefSeq lists it as uncharacterized. The transcript has 4 exons. NCBI's taxonomy places the organism in Eukaryota, Metazoa, Cnidaria, Anthozoa, Actiniaria, Aiptasiidae. The record is from RefSeq and is a predicted model, not a curated record.
CAAUGAGAUAACUUAACCUUCUUAACGCAUUGCAGAAUUAGAUAGUGACAGCGAUAAUUGCAUCCCAGCCUCAAAGAAACAGAAAAAGGAAGACACAAACAAGACUACAAAAAGGAAAAAAGCAGCAAGCCGUGAAGCCAAGAAAGAGGAAAUUGUGAGCAACCUAGAGGAAAAGCACGGAACACAAUGGGAGAAGAGGGAAUACCGUUUAUGGGCUGAGGCCAUACUAAGAGAGGAUCAUGAUGAUUAUGAUAAACCGCCGGACUACCCUGUCUUCAACAAAAAGGCGGACAAGGCACUGAAACGAACACCGUGUGACUUGCAAGCAAAGACAACGCGUGUUGAAACCAGGACAAAGUUAUUCGAGCAGUUAAGCAUGUUGAAAGAACUGAAAGACAGAAAUAUCUUAAGUGAAAGCAAGUAUGACGAG